Molecule: ribosomal RNA, 497 nt
Filed under: uncultured bacterium
Lineage: Bacteria
Description: partial 16S ribosomal RNA
Rfam family: Bacterial small subunit ribosomal RNA
Source: RNAcentral
GAUGAGCGCUGGCGGCGUGCCUAAUACAUGCAAGUCGAGCGAACAGACGAGGAGCUUGCUCCUCUGACGUUAGCGGCGGACGGGUGAGUAACACGUGGAUAACCUACCUAUAAGACUGGGAUAACUUCGGGAAACCGGAGCUAAUACCGGAUAAUAUAUUGAACCGCAUGGUUCAAUAGUGAAAGACGGUUUUGCUGUCACUUAUAGAUGGAUCCGCGCCGCAUUAGCUAGUUGGUAAGGUAACGGCUUACCAAGGCAACGAUGCGUAGCCGACCUGAGAGGGUGAUGGGCCACACUGGAACUGAGACACGGUCCAGACUCCUACGGGAGGCAGCAGUAGGGAAUCUUCCGCAAUGGGCGAAAGCCUGACGGAGCAACGCCGCGUGAGUGAUGAAGGUCUUCGGAUCGUAAAACCCUGUUAUUAGGGAAGAACAAAUGUGUAAGUAACUAUGCACGUCUUGACGGUACCUAAUCAGAAAGCCACGGCUAACUACGUG